RNAcentral lists this ribosomal RNA (423 nucleotides) under uncultured eukaryote. RNAcentral's name for it is "bacterial SSU rRNA". It matches the Rfam family "Eukaryotic small subunit ribosomal RNA", at positions 592 to 1018 of the family's 1831-position model. The record is from RNAcentral.
CAAUAGCGUAUAUUAAAGUUGUUGCGGUUAAAAAGCUCGUAGUUGGAUUUCUGUUGGGAACGACCGGUCCGCCCAUUGGGUGUGCAUCUGGCUUGUUCUCGGCAUCUUCUUGGUGAACGUUGCUGCACUUGACUGUGUGGAGCGCUACCCAGGACUUUUACUUUGAGGAAAUUAGAGUGUUUAAAGCAGGCUUAUGCCGUUGAAUACAUUAGCAUGGAAUAAUAAGAUAGGACUUUGGCGUCUAUUUUGUUGGUUUGCACACCAAGGUAAUGAUUAAUAGGGAUAGUUGGGGGUAUUCGUAUUUAAUUGUCAGAGGUGAAAUUCUUGGAUUUAUGAAAGACGAACUUCUGCGAAAGCAUUUACCAAAGAUGUUUUCAUUAAUCAAGAACGAAAGUUAGGGGAUCGAAGACGAUCAGAUACCAU